RNAcentral lists this long non-coding RNA (1334 nucleotides) under Homo sapiens (human). RNAcentral's name for it is "non-protein coding lnc-ACTG1-4:4". The record is from RNAcentral. Lineage: Eukaryota; Metazoa; Chordata; Mammalia; Primates; Hominidae.
AUCACCACCAACCACAUCACCCACCAUCACCCCCAACCACAUCAUCACCAACCACACCCACCACUAUCACCACCAACCACAUCACCACCAACCACAUCACCAAUCACAUCAUGCACCAACCACAUCACCAAUGACAUCACCCACCAACCACAUCACCACCAACCACAUCACCCACCACCACCACCAACCACAUCAUCACCAAAUCACCAACCACAUUACCCACCACCACCACGACCCACCAUCACCCUCAACCACAUCAUCACCAACCACAUCACCACCAACCACAUCACACCAACCACAUCACCACCAACCACAUCACCCACCACUAUCACCACCAACCACAUCGCCACCAACCACAUCACCCACCAUCACCACCAACCACAUCACCACCAACCACAUAACCACCAACCACAUCACCCACCACUAUCACCCCCAACCACAUCACCCACCACUAUCACCCCCAACCACAUCACCACCAACCACAUCACCCACCACUAUCACCCCCAACCACAUCACCACCAACCACAUCACCCACCAACCACAUCACCCACCACUAUCACCACCAACCACACCACCAACCACAUCACCCACCACUAUCACCACCAACCACAUCACCCACCACUAUCACCCCCAACCACAUCACCCACCACUAUCACCACCAACCACAUCACCCACCAUCAUCACCAACCACAUCACCCACCACUAUCACCACCAACCACAACACCCACCAUCACCCCCAACCACAUCACCCACCACUAUCACCCCCAACCACAUCACCCACCACUAUCACCACCAACCACAUCACCCACCAACCACAUCACCACCAACCACAUCACCCACCACUAUCACCCCCAACCACAUCAUCACCAACCACAUCACCCAUCACUAUCACCACCAACCACAUCACACCAACCACAUCAUGCCAACCACAUCACCCACCACUAUCAGCACCAACCACAUCACACCAACCACAUCACCACCAACCACAUUACUACCACAUCACCUACCAUCAUCAUCACCACCAACCACAUCACCUGUCACCAACCACAUCAUCAUCACCAACCAUAUCACCCAGCACUAUCACCACAAACCACAUCACCCACCACCACCAACCACAUCAACACCACCCCAACUACAUCACCAUCACCACCACCACACAACACCAACCACAUUAUCAUCACCAACCACAUCACCUCCACCACCAUGCCCCCAACCACAUCACCACUACCAUUACCACCAACCACAUCAUCCACCACCAUUACCAACCACAUUCAACAACAACCACACCACCACCACCAUCACCAACCACAACAACCAUAUCAUCAUCAAUCACC